AUGAAGGAAGCGACGGUCUCGCGACUCGCAAACCCUAGCUCGCGAGCAGAGGGCCACAAAACCACACCCCUCUCCCUCCCCGCCGCCACUUGCCGCAACUCCUCCACCAGAAAGGGAAGGGAAGCACGCCGGAGCCCCAUCUCCCCGGCCGUCAAAAUGGUGAACGUUCCGAAGACCAAGAAGACCUACUGCAAAAACAAGGAGUGCAAGAAGCACACACUUCACAAGGUCACUCAGUACAAGAAGGGCAAGGACAGUCUAUCUGCCCAGGGAAAGCGUCGUUAUGACAGGAAGCAGUCGGGAUAUGGUGGUCAGACCAAGCCUGUUUUCCACAAGAAGGCAAAAACCACCAAGAAGAUUGUGCUGAAGCUGCAAUGCCAGAGCUGCAAGCACUACUCCCAGCGUGCCAUCAAGAGGUGCAAGCAUUUUGAGAUCGGCGGAGACAAGAAGGGCAAGGGGACAUCUCUUUUCUAG
This 474-nucleotide ribosomal RNA is filed under the name Triticum aestivum (bread wheat). RNAcentral's name for it is "partial small subunit ribosomal RNA". The record is from RNAcentral. Lineage: Eukaryota; Viridiplantae; Streptophyta; Magnoliopsida; Poales; Poaceae.